UACGUAGGGUGCGAGCGUUGUCCGGAUUUAUUGGGCGUAAAGAGCUCGUAGGCGGUCUGUCGCGUCGGAUGUGAAAACCCAGGGCUCAACCCUGGGCCUGCAUUCGAUACGGGCAGACUAGAGUACGGCAGGGGAGACUGGAAUUCCUGGUGUAGCGGUGAAAUGCGCAGAUAUCAGGAGGAACACCGGUGGCGAAGGCGGGUCUCUGGGCAGUAACUGACGCUGAGGAGCGAAAGCGUGGGGAGCGAACAGG
RNAcentral lists this ribosomal RNA (253 nucleotides) under uncultured bacterium. RNAcentral describes it as "partial 16S ribosomal RNA". It matches the Rfam family "Bacterial small subunit ribosomal RNA", at positions 524 to 776 of the family's 1533-position model. The record is from RNAcentral.